Molecule: non-coding RNA, 84 nt
Organism: Metarhizium robertsii ARSEF 23
Lineage: Eukaryota; Fungi; Ascomycota; Sordariomycetes; Hypocreales; Clavicipitaceae
Source: Rfam
GCUUCCGUAGCUCAGUUGGUUAGAGCUUCGUACUAAUAAACGUUAGUGAUGCGGAGGCCGCAGGUUCAAGCCCUGCCGGGAGCA